RNAcentral lists this ribosomal RNA (253 nucleotides) under uncultured bacterium. Its description in RNAcentral is "partial 16S ribosomal RNA". It matches the Rfam family "Bacterial small subunit ribosomal RNA", at positions 524 to 776 of the family's 1533-position model. The record is from RNAcentral.
UACGUAGGGCGCAAGCGUUGUCCGGAAUUAUUGGGCGUAAAGAGCUCGUAGGCGGCUUGUCACGUCGGAUGUGAAAGCCCGGGGCUUAACCCCGGGUCUGCAUUCGAUACGGGCAGGCUAGAGUGCGGUAGGGGAGAUCGGAAUUCCUGGUGUAGCGGUGAAAUGCGCAGAUAUCAGGAGGAACACCGGUGGCGAAGGCGGAUCUCUGGGCCGUAACUGACGCUGAGGAGCGAAAGCAUGGGGAGCGAACAGG